GUGACACGCUACAGUUUCGCCGAUACCAGCGGUACUAUUACAGAGACUGAGAGGAGCACAGAGUCCCAGCCGGCAACUGUGUCUCCUAGCCAUACAAGACCCUUCUUGGCUGAUUCAGUAACCACCUCCACCAUGACCAGACACCAGAGUAGCAGUUUGUCUACCACGGGGACGUGCCACCAGUUAACCCCCAACAGGUUAUGUGAUAUUUUAUCAGGCAUGGCCCAAGCACAGC
RNAcentral lists this long non-coding RNA (235 nucleotides) under Rattus norvegicus (Norway rat). RNAcentral describes it as "long non-coding RNA NONRATT029784". Lineage: Eukaryota; Metazoa; Chordata; Mammalia; Rodentia; Muridae. The record is from RNAcentral.